GAUGAACGCUGGCGGCGUGCCUAAUACAUGCAAGUCGAGCGAACAGAUGAGGAGCUUGCUCCUCUGACGUUAGCGGCGGACGGGUGAGUAACACGUGUAUAACCUACCUAUAAGACUGGGAUAACUUCGGGAAACCGGAGCUAAUACCGGAUAAUAUAUUGAACCGCAUGGUUCAAUAGUGAAAGACGGCUUUGCUGUCACGUAUAGAUGGAUCCGCGCCGCAUUAGCUAGUUGGUAAGGUAACGGCUUACCAAGGCAACGAUGCGUAGACGACCUGAGAGGGUGAUCGGCCACACUGGAGCUGAGACACGCUCCAGACUCCUACGGGAGGCAGCAGUCUGGAAUCUUCCGCAGUGGGCGAAAGCCUGACGGAGCAACGCCGCGUGAGUGAUGAAGGUCUUCGGAUCGUAAAACUCUGUUAUUAGGGAAGAACAAAUGUGUAAGUAACUAUGCACGUCUUGACGGUACCUAAUCAGAAAGCCACGGCUAACUACGUG
RNAcentral lists this ribosomal RNA (497 nucleotides) under uncultured bacterium. Its description in RNAcentral is "partial 16S ribosomal RNA". It matches the Rfam family "Bacterial small subunit ribosomal RNA", at positions 28 to 507 of the family's 1533-position model. The record is from RNAcentral.